Long non-coding RNA from Onychostoma macrolepis, 702 nucleotides. RefSeq lists it as uncharacterized. The record is from RefSeq and is a predicted model, not a curated record. The transcript has 4 exons. NCBI's taxonomy places the organism in Eukaryota, Metazoa, Chordata, Actinopteri, Cypriniformes, Cyprinidae.
GCAGUUCAACUAAUUUAAUCAACACCUGCCAGCCAAUCAGAAUCCAGUAUUCAGACAGACCAUGGCAUAAAGCGGUAUGUUCUUAUUGUUACCAGCUUCUGCGAGCGUGUAUGGCGUCUGGCUUCAGAACCUCACUGUGACUUCGGAUAAGAACAAAGAUUAAAUUGUAAGAAGGGUUGCUUAUAAAAGCAUACAGUACAUCUGAAACUGCUGAGACUGGUGAUAUAUUUCCGACCAGAUCAGCUGCUAUAGAAGACAAACUGAAAUCUGAGUGCAGAGACAAGCAAAGGAAUACUGCAAGACACUACUGACUAGGCUGUGCCCAGGUCUCUGGAACCUGCGACGACGCUCAGCUCCAUCGGCCCUUAGUCUGCGGCUUCGGAUCCACCAGCUCUGUCUCCAUCGGUCGGCCCCCAGAUGUCGGCAGCCACACCUUCUACAUCUUGGCUCCUCCCUCCCUCGACUCCGCCGUGUGUUGUCAGCACUGCUCUGGGUCUGUACCAACACACCUCCAUCCCUCAAAUGGAUAAGAUGGCUCUUCCAUAGCAUUUCAGUCUUUUUUUCAUUUAUGUUUUUUGUGUAAUGUUUUAAAAUGUACUUGAGUAUGUUUGUAGUAAUACAAAAACACUAUAAACGUACUUGUAUUUCAAGUGAAUUUUUAAUACAUUUAAUAGUAUGUUUUUUUUCACCAAAGUAUAUAUG